RNAcentral lists this ribosomal RNA (924 nucleotides) under Triticum aestivum (bread wheat). RNAcentral's name for it is "partial small subunit ribosomal RNA". The record is from RNAcentral. Lineage: Eukaryota; Viridiplantae; Streptophyta; Magnoliopsida; Poales; Poaceae.
AUGGCGACCAUCACGGCGCCUCCCUGCUCCCCCUCUCCAUCGUGUAUGUUCCUCACCCGCAGCUAUUGCUGCUCGAGGUCGGCGCCAAGAGCGGCCAUCCGCUCAUCUGCUGUGGCGGCGGCCCGGCAGACGCUCUCCUCCGGAUGGGACCUGUCCGGGCUGUCGGGAGCGCGACCGGCAGCUGGAAAAGCCCGUCUCGAGGAGUUGGACACCAGCAACAUGCUUCUCCGCCAGCGAAUCAUCUUUCUCGGCUCCCCGGUGGAUGAUUUGACUGCGGAUCUUAUCACCAGUCAACUCUUACUGUUGGAUGCAAAGGACCACACAAAGGAUAUCAAGUUGUUUAUUAAUUCACCUGGAGGCUCCAUUACUGCAGGAAUGGGGAUUUAUGAUGCCAUGAAAUUUUGCAAGGCUGAUAUCUCAACUGUUUGCUUUGGAUUGGCGGCUUCCAUGGGUGCAUUUUUGUUAGCUGCUGGGACAAAGGGAAAGAGAUUUUGCAUGCCAAAUGCGAGAAUUAUGAUCCAUCAGCCAUCAGGGGGAGCUGGUGGGAAGGCCACAGAGAUGGGAUUGCAGAUAACAGAAAUGCUCUAUGAGAAGAUAAAGAUCAACAAGAUAAUGUCAAGGAUCACUGGAAAGCCUGAAGAGCAGAUUGACGAGGACACGAAGUUUGACUGUUUCAUGAGUCCUUGGGAGGCCAAGGAUUAUGGAAUAAUUGACAGCAUUGUAGAUGAGGGCAAACUUGGAUUGGUAGCUCCUGUAUCGGGAGCUGUGCCACCCCCAAAAUCACGUGUGUGGUACUUGUGGAACGCUUCAGGACCAACUAGAAAAAUAAUGAAAAAUCUACCUUCAGAGGAAAAGCUCAUUCGAAAUGGCAAUGGCAGUGUAAGUGGAGCUGAUGGAAUGCUGAAGGAGGCCUCAUCAACUUGA